AGUCGUCAGGCAUUAACACAAGCUUUCUGUUGCAGCAAAGCCGCUUAUAAAAUUUGCAAGUGUUGUUUUCCUAAUAUACACUGGUAAAACAAUGUCUGAAGUGUGUCCGUGUUGCGAUAGUGUUGUUUACUCCGCGGAAAAGGCCGCAAUGUUUGGAAAGAAGGGUGAUGUGUACCACAAAAAGUGCCUGAAAUGCUGCGAAUGCAAGAAAGCGCUAGACAGCAUGAACUUCCACGAACACGACGGUGUACUGUACUGUAAACGACACUACUGCCGGGAAU
This is a long non-coding RNA of Dendronephthya gigantea, 281 nucleotides long. RefSeq lists it as uncharacterized. The record is from RefSeq and is a predicted model, not a curated record. NCBI's taxonomy places the organism in Eukaryota, Metazoa, Cnidaria, Anthozoa, Malacalcyonacea, Nephtheidae. The transcript has 3 exons.